Long non-coding RNA from Nicotiana attenuata, 2317 nucleotides. RefSeq lists it as uncharacterized. The record is from RefSeq and is a predicted model, not a curated record. The transcript has 2 exons. Lineage: Eukaryota; Viridiplantae; Streptophyta; Magnoliopsida; Solanales; Solanaceae.
CAACCAAUCAGCCCAAUCAAAUUAUUUUAUUUUUAAGUCCCAAAAAUCCAAUCCAUAAAGAUUAUUCUAGAAACCCCAAUUCCUCUCUCACCAAAACAGACGCUCCUCUUUCCCCUCUCCAUUGUCGCUUUCAAUAUCUGCCAUGGCAGAGCUCUCCCUUGGCCUUUUCUUCCAAUUUUGGCUAAGUCUUGACCUUCACUUUUUCCAUAUCUUACCAUUUGGGUAAAAGAUCUGAAGCAAAUCCCUGAAGCUUAGGACUUUGGCCAAGGAAUCUCAUAUUUUCUUUUGAUUUUUGCUGAGCUCUUCAAAAAGGCAACGUUCGGAUCUCAACGUUCAAUUUUUGAACCAUGACACUGCUCAAAAGCUGCGCGCCUAAACUAACCCUAGAAGAACCCUAACUUCUAUCUAUAAAUAUCUGUUUUGGAAAUCAUAUUUAAGACAACUCGGAGCCGCUGCCUCUCCCCACUAAAAUCUACUGCUAGCUAUUUGAUCACCAUUGUUGUUUUCCCUAAAUAUUUAGCUUCCUUUUUAAUAUUUUGUUGGCUUUCAAGCUAAAAUAGAAGCAUCCUAAUUUCUUUCAUCUGAGAAUUGUACGUGAGUAGAUUAGAGGCCGCUCCUAGUUCACUGCCCGCAAAAAGAAAUCAUAUCUAUUAGGAUUUAAAUACUAUUAGCGAACUCAUUCUACCGAGGGGCAACAAAGGCUGGAACUCUUCCUGCCAAAAACAAGGGACCUACUUCUCAUCCUAGGAGUUAGCAGGUAUGAAAGAGUCCCCUCUCUGUCUGUCUCUCCGAGUUUCUACUACUAAGUAGCACUUCUGCUAUUCAAUCAUAGAAUCGAUUCCGAUCAAGCUGAAAAAAGCAACCAAAGCAAAGGGAGGAAAGAGCUAUAAGGAAGACUGAUUCACUCGCUUUCGAGAACUAAGAUUUACAGCGUAAGGUAACAACUAGUAUGGAAAGCUGGUCGCCUUUGGAAGCCUUCGCCGGUAACCAAAGCGUAUCGUUCCCGCAACCACUUUGGUACUUUGUUUAUAGCUUUUUUAAGUUAUGCAAUAGAAGGGGGGGCUUGCGCUUGAAUUGAAGUAGCGUCUUUGGAAUAUGAGUAGGGCUCCUAAGUGGCGCGUUCGUGGAGGCAAACCGAAGGAAGAGCAAAAGGAAGAUUGGGUGCUUGUGGGGCGAGGAAAAACCUCGAAUAGGAGGGGGCCACCGCCCCGGGAAUCAAUAAGAAAACAAGUGCUAAGUUUCAGAUCAGAUAGUAUACAUUCAAUCCGGAUAAGACACUGAGAUGAAAGACGAAUCAAGCAAGAAAGGCAGGUCCGCUCUUAUAGAAGAGCUACAGAGGCGGAUGCGGAUUCAGUCCGAGCUAAGAACUGAGCGCCCCGGCGAAUAAAGAAGCCUUCUCGUAGUCUAAGGACCAUGUCAAAAGGUUUAGAUAAUGCCUACUUAACUUUAAAACGUGUACCUUCCUUCAUACUUACAUAAAUCAACAGCUGAGAUUGAGCUUAAAACAAGUUGUGACGUUUUUGCGGCGUGCUUGAUUACCGCACAAAAGAUCUUGUGAUUUCUUUUACUUAGAUACCAUGAUUUAGGAUUUCCAUUGUAAAUGUAUUGGAAGUAACGAUCCCCGGAAGCUAAAAUUUGAUAAAAUGUUGCAUAUAAAGAUUAAAAUGUGUCUGGCACCAAAUAUUGAUAUUUUGGUCUCAUAUAUUUUUAUCGUGAUGCUUUUAACAUUUUAAAAUCAACUUGUGUCUCUUGAUUUAUAAAGUUAGAAUGAACUGAAAGGGUGCCUCUUGAAUAUUAAGCUCUAUUUGGAAAAUCUGUCCACAAUUUAGGAUUACAAAAAGUAGUUAGCCUAGUUUUAGUUUUUUUUCUAAAAAUUAUUUGUUUUCAUUACAAGCUAAUUCUUUUGUCGAGACUCUGGUUCUUUUCUGAAUUAUUGUGCCAGUUUGAGAAUUCUCUAUUCUAAUUCUUGUUUUACUUUUCUUUUUGUUUUGCAUAUCUAUCCGGAGCAACAUGGAGUCUUAAUUCGAGACUCUUGCAAUGAAAUCUCAUAGUGAGGCUCGAUGCUACCAUCAUCGCCAUCACAUACCAUCUUCCUUAGGUGUAUCGAGCAUCAAGAAAAGCAAGCGAAAUGCUUGGGGGUGCCUAUGGCGUCCUUCCCUCUUAAUAUUUAUAUUGUGUCCAAUCUUUUAUGAUUGUUGAUUUAUUUGUUUGUUUGGUGUGUAUCUCAACUGUGGAUUUAGUCAUCUAGGUUCUCUACUAUAGUAUUUAUAUAAUCUUUAGGCAUUUAAGAUCACUAAUUUAGUAACUUUUUCAUCUA